AUUGAACGCUGGCGGCAUGCUUUACACAUGCAAGUCGGACGGCAGCACAGAGAAGCUUGCUUCUUGGGUGGCGAGUGGCGAACGGGUGAGUAACAUAUCGGAACGUACCGAGCAGUGGGGGAUAACUAAUCGAAAGAUUAGCUAAUACCGCAUAUUUUCUGAGGAAGAAAGCAGGGGACCAUUUGGCCUUGCGCUGUUUGAGCGGCCGAUAUCUGAUUAGCUAGUUGGUGGGGUAAAGGCCUACCAAGGCGACGAUCAGUAGCGGGUCUGAGAGGAUGAUCCGCCACACUGGGACUGAGACACGGCCCAGACUCCUACGGGAGGCAGCAGUGGGGAAUUUUGGACAAUGGGCGCAAGCCUGAUCCAGCCAUGCCGCGUGUCUGAAGAAGGCCUUCGGGUUGUAAAGGACUUUUGUCAGGGAAGAAAAGGAUAGGGUUAAUACCCCUGUCUGAUGACGUACCUGAAGAAUAAGCUCCG
RNAcentral lists this ribosomal RNA (477 nucleotides) under Neisseria pharyngis. RNAcentral describes it as "bacterial SSU rRNA". It matches the Rfam family "Bacterial small subunit ribosomal RNA", at positions 30 to 495 of the family's 1533-position model. The record is from RNAcentral. Lineage: Bacteria; Pseudomonadati; Pseudomonadota; Betaproteobacteria; Neisseriales; Neisseriaceae.